CUUUUAAAGGAUAGAAGUAAUCCACUG
RNAcentral lists this transfer RNA (27 nucleotides) under Kinixys homeana (Homes hingeback tortoise). RNAcentral's name for it is "partial transfer RNA-Leu". Lineage: Eukaryota; Metazoa; Chordata; Testudines; Testudinidae. RNAcentral also lists the same sequence under 3 other names. The record is from RNAcentral.